AGAAUCUCAAAUGGACGACAAACUAAGUCAGACUCAAGAAAAGAAAAGGCACAGGUUUCAGCACAAGUGCAGAUUACUACUGGGCAACUGGCAGAACUAAAAUAGCCUCACAAAUCUUAAUCAUUAAAUGGUGAGACAGAAAGAUCAGAAAAGGGAGCGAGAAAAAAAA
This is a long non-coding RNA of Exaiptasia diaphana, 169 nucleotides long. RefSeq lists it as uncharacterized. The record is from RefSeq and is a predicted model, not a curated record. The transcript has 3 exons. NCBI's taxonomy places the organism in Eukaryota, Metazoa, Cnidaria, Anthozoa, Actiniaria, Aiptasiidae.